Long non-coding RNA from Fukomys damarensis (Damara mole-rat), 866 nucleotides. RefSeq lists it as uncharacterized. The record is from RefSeq and is a predicted model, not a curated record. The transcript is spliced from 3 exons. Lineage: Eukaryota; Metazoa; Chordata; Mammalia; Rodentia; Bathyergidae.
CACAGAAAUCUGCAGCCUGAGACCCUCCAAAAUCCAAAACGUCCCGAAAUCGGAAGGCUGCAAGUGAAAACUCUGUACUGUGAAACUUUGUUUCACACACAAAAUAAUUAGGAGUGUUGUGUAAAGUUACCCUCAGGCUGUAGUAUGUAAGAGGUGGCAGAAAAAUCAGUUCAGGAAGCAGCGAUGAUGUGAGGGAAAUAAGCAGCCGAGGGAGGAGAGGAGCGAGGCGGAGACAGCUCUGAGCCCUCUUGGAGCAGCUUCACUGUGUUGCUGACCCUUGCGGCGCCCCCUCAGUGGCCUGGACGUGGUCACUCCUUGCAUCCACAGUGCAGCCCCCUCCGUAGUGGCAGCAGGCAGACAGAAUGUUCACGCGCCCCUGCCUUGUACAGGGCAGGCGUCAGCAUCGGGAAAGGGGGACCUGAAAGCUGAACUGGCCGGGAAUUUCAGGAUCAUCUUCUCCAGCUCCCACCCAGCCAGGGGUCCCGCGAGCCACCCCACCUGCCUGUGGAAGCUCCCUCCAAGGAGCCACGGAAGGGCUGUGCUUGGAUGGAGGCCAUGUGUGUGGCUACCCGAAGAAUUAGCUUGAUGUUCUAAGAGCAAUGGAGAAAUUCUGCACGGGUUUUGAGUAAAAGAAAUAAGAGUAGAAGCAAAAACAGCCAUUAGAGGGAGUCAGCCAAGGGAAAGAUUUGCACCCCUCUCCUUUGCAGUAUUUCCUGCAAUGAGGCAGCUUUGGGAUGUGCACAAGUCCUCCAUCACUGAUGUUUUCUGUCUGCAAACUUCUGCCUCUGUGGUGAUGAGCUCGGCCCCCAGAACCACCCGGCGAACUCCAGCAGGCUCUGCCCCACACCCGCCUGCUGGUGAGGCAG